GAAUUGACUCAUAAUUGCCUAAGACUUUAUCAGUAAUACACAAACAGCGCAGAAGGUCAGCCUCAUUAUAAAUUUAAAUGAGCAACAUUUUUGGUAUAAUUUGUAUGACUUUCUGUCUACUGUUUUGCUAGCGAAUAUAUGAAAUUAUACCUCAAACGGGAUAGUUGCACUCAUUAAAAUUAACACUCUUUUGGACAAUAUAACAGACGGCAAUAAUUAGUUUUGUUGAAUAAAA
This is a long non-coding RNA of Aricia agestis (brown argus), 235 nucleotides long. RefSeq lists it as uncharacterized. The transcript has 2 exons. The record is from RefSeq and is a predicted model, not a curated record. Lineage: Eukaryota; Metazoa; Arthropoda; Insecta; Lepidoptera; Lycaenidae.